GACGAACGCUGGCGGCGUGCCUAAUACAUGCAAGUUGAGCGCUGAAGGUUGGUACUUGUACCAACUGGAUGAGCAGCGAACGGGUGAGUAACGCGUGGGGAAUCUGCCUUUGAGCGGGGGACAACAUUUGGAAACGAAUGCUAAUACCGCAUAAAAACUUUAAACACAAGUUUUAAGUUUGAAAGAUGCAAUUGCAUCACUCAAAGAUGAUCCCGCGUUGUAUUAGCUAGUUGGUGAGGUAAAGGCUCACCAAGGCGAUGAUACAUAGCCGACCUGAGAGGGUGAUCGGCCACAGUGGGACUGAGACACGGCCCAAACUCCUACGGGAGGCAGCAGUAGGGAAUCUUCGGCAAUGGACGAAAGUCUGACCGAGCAACGCCGCGGGAGUGAAGAAGGGUUUCGGAUCGUAAAACUCUGUUGGUAGAGAAGAACGUUGGUGAGAGUGGAAAGCUCAUCAAGUGACGGUAACUACCCAGAAAGGGACGGCUAACUACGUG
Molecule: ribosomal RNA, 497 nt
Filed under: uncultured bacterium
Lineage: Bacteria
Description: partial 16S ribosomal RNA
Rfam family: Bacterial small subunit ribosomal RNA
Source: RNAcentral